This 68-nucleotide transfer RNA is filed under the name Marmota monax (woodchuck). RNAcentral's name for it is "tRNA.Thr". The stretch from base 7 to 63 matches the Rfam family "tRNA", at positions 8 to 63 of the family's 71-position model. Rfam says of the family: Transfer RNA (tRNA) molecules are approximately 80 nucleotides in length. Their secondary structure includes four short double-helical elements and three loops (D, anti-codon, and T loops). Lineage: Eukaryota; Metazoa; Chordata; Mammalia; Rodentia; Sciuridae. The record is from RNAcentral.
GGGAUGUAUCUCAGUGGUACAGUGUUUGCCUGGUGUGCAUAAGGCCCUGGGUUCAAUCCCCAGUUCUG